This 730-nucleotide ribosomal RNA is filed under the name uncultured bacterium. RNAcentral describes it as "bacterial SSU rRNA". It matches the Rfam family "Bacterial small subunit ribosomal RNA", at positions 771 to 1501 of the family's 1533-position model. The record is from RNAcentral.
AACAGGAUUAGAUACCCUGGUAGUCCACGCUGUAAACGAUGUCUACUUGGAGGCUGUGGUCUUGAACCGUGGCUUCCGGAGCUAACGCGUUAAGUAGACCGCCUGGGGAGUACGGCCGCAAGGUUAAAACUCAAAUGAAUUGACGGGGGCCCGCACAAGCGGUGGAGCAUGUGGUUUAAUUCGAUGCAACGCGAAGAACCUUACCUACUCUUGACAUCCAGAGAACUUAGCAGAGAUGCUUUGGUGCCUUCGGGAACUCUGAGACAGGUGCUGCAUGGCUGUCGUCAGCUCGUGUUGUGAAAUGUUGGGUUAAGUCCCGCAACGAGCGCAACCCUUAUCCUUUGUUGCCAGCGAUUCGGUCGGGAACUCAAAGGAGACUGCCAGUGAUAAACUGGAGGAAGGUGGGGAUGACGUCAAGUCAUCAUGGCCCUUACGAGUAGGGCUACACACGUGCUACAAUGGCGCAUACAAAGAGAAGCGACCUCGCGAGAGCAAGCGGACCUCAUAAAGUGCGUCGUAGUCCGGAUUGGAGUCUGCAACUCGACUCCAUGAAGUCGGAGUCGCUAGUAAUCGUGGAUCAGAAUGCCACGGUGAAUACGUUCCCGGGCCUUGUACACACCGCCCGUCACACCAUGGGAGUGGGUUGCAAAAGAAGUAGGUAGCUUAACCUUCGGGAGGGCGCUUACCACUUUGUGAUUCAUGACUGGGGUGAAGUCGUAACAAGGUAACC